Mauremys reevesii (Reeves's turtle) is the source of this 587-nucleotide long non-coding RNA. RefSeq lists it as uncharacterized. The record is from RefSeq and is a predicted model, not a curated record. The transcript has 3 exons. NCBI's taxonomy places the organism in Eukaryota, Metazoa, Chordata, Testudines, Geoemydidae.
CUGGACACUGGAAUGAGCUAAUUCCCGAGGAUGACCAGUAGGAGGCGCUGCGGGGGUAGAGCACUCAUCUGAGAGAUGACUGAUCCCUAUUCAGAUCCUGUCUUCCCUUCGGGCAGAGGUGGAAUUUGAACCAGAGACCUCUCACAUCCCAAAUACAAAUUGGAAGAUGGACAGAGACAGAGAGGGGCUGUUUUGGAGUGUUUGCCCCUGCUUUCUAUAGCUUCAGUCCCCUCAUGAAAAGCAUCUCUAGCUGAGAAACAGGAGAAAAAGUGCCUCUGUGGAAGUAUGGUCCCUGCUGGAUUUUUUCACCUGUGUGAAUUUCCUUUUGUUUCUUCUCUUCCCCCUUUCUGUUUUGUUACUAUUUACUGUUUAAAUGCAAAUUAAGACAAACACACUUUCCUUUGUUCAGGGCAGGGCUGUGGGGCUUGAAACAUGUACUAACAUUAUACAGGAGAAUUUUAUAACUUCACAUACAACGUUGAAACAUAUAUUUUAGCAUAUGAUGGAACAUAUAUUGAAAUAUAUAUUUAGCAAAUGAGAAAAAUAAGAGAAAUUAGCAGCAGAACCUUCAGUAGUGCUUUAUGGUC